RNAcentral lists this ribosomal RNA (504 nucleotides) under uncultured bacterium. Its description in RNAcentral is "bacterial SSU rRNA". It matches the Rfam family "Bacterial small subunit ribosomal RNA", at positions 791 to 1314 of the family's 1533-position model. The record is from RNAcentral.
UAGUCCACGCCGUAAACGAUGAGAACUAGCCGUUGGAACUGUUAUGGUUUUAGUGGCGCAGCUAACGCGUUAAGUUCUCCGCCUGGGGAGUACGGUCGCAAGAUUAAAACUCAAAUGAAUUGACGGGGGCCCGCACAAGCAGUGGAGCAUGUGGUUUAAUUCGAAGCAGCGCGCAGAACCUUACCACCACUUGACAUUACCAUCGCGAUUUCCGGAGACGGAUUUCUUCAGUUCGGCUGGAUGGAUAACAGGUGCUGCAUGGCUGUCGUCAGCUCGUGUCGUGAGAUGUUGGGUUAAGUCCCGCAACGAGCGCAACCCUCGCCUUUAGUUGCCAGCAGUUCGGCUGGGCACUCUAGAGGAACCGCCGGUGAUAAGCCGGAGGAAGGUGGGGAUGACGUCAAGUCCUCAUGGCCCUUACGUGUGGGCUACACACGUGCUACAAUGGCAGUGACAAUGGGUUAAUCCCAAAAAGCUGUCUCAGUUCGGAUUGUCGGCUGCAACUCG